This 67-nucleotide transfer RNA is filed under the name Marmota monax (woodchuck). RNAcentral's name for it is "tRNA.Ala". Lineage: Eukaryota; Metazoa; Chordata; Mammalia; Rodentia; Sciuridae. The record is from RNAcentral.
GGUUGUGGCUCAGUGGCAGAGCACUUGCCUAGCAUGUGUGAGGCACUGGGUUCAAUUCUCAGUACCA